Molecule: ribosomal RNA, 520 nt
Filed under: uncultured Staphylococcus sp.
Lineage: Bacteria; Bacillati; Bacillota; Bacilli; Caryophanales; Staphylococcaceae
Description: bacterial SSU rRNA
Rfam family: Bacterial small subunit ribosomal RNA
Source: RNAcentral
ACAUGCAAGUCGAGCGAACGGACGAGAAGCUUGCUUCUCUGAUGUUAGCGGCGGACGGGUGAGUAACACGUGGAUAACCUACCUAUAAGACUGGGAUAACUUCGGGAAACCGGAGCUAAUACCGGAUGAUAUUUUGAACCGCAUGGUUCAAAAGUGAAAGACGGUCUUGCUGUCACUUAUAGAUGGAUCCGCGCUGCAUUAGCUAGUUGGUAAGGUAACGGCUUACCAAGGCAACGAUGCAUAGCCGACCUGAGAGGGUGAUCGGCCACACUGGAACUGAGACACGGUCCAGACUCCUACGGGAGGCAGCAGUAGGGAAUCUUCCGCAAUGGGCGAAAGCCUGACGGAGCAACGCCGCGUGAGUGAUGAAGGUCUUCGGAUCGUAAAACUCUGUUAUUAGGGAAGAACAUAUGUGUAAGUAACUGUGCACAUCUUGACGGUACCUAAUCAGAAAGCCACGGCUAACUACGUGCCAGCAGCCGCGGUAAUACGUAGGUGGCAAGCGUUAUCCGGAAUUAUU